UACGUAGGUGGCAAGCGUUGUCCGGAUUUAUUGGGCGUAAAGCGCGCGCAGGCGGUCCUUUAAGUCUGAUGUGAAAUCUUGCGGCUCAACCGCAAGCGGCCAUUGGAAACUGGGGGACUUGAGUACAGAAGAGGAAAGCGGAAUUCCACGUGUAGCGGUGAAAUGCGUAGAGAUGUGGAGGAACACCAGUGGCGAAGGCGGCUUUCUGGUCUGUAACUGACGCUGAGGCGCGAAAGCGUGGGGAGCAAACAGG
Molecule: ribosomal RNA, 253 nt
Filed under: uncultured bacterium
Lineage: Bacteria
Description: partial 16S ribosomal RNA
Rfam family: Bacterial small subunit ribosomal RNA
Source: RNAcentral